GAGGUGGAAUCUGAAAAACCUUAAUAAGAGUAAGAA
RNAcentral lists this non-coding RNA (36 nucleotides) under Flavobacterium sp. CECT 9288. RNAcentral describes it as "DUF805b". It matches the Rfam family "DUF805b RNA". Rfam says of the family: Bacteroidetes, Chlorobi (1 example), Proteobacteria. Lineage: Bacteria; Pseudomonadati; Bacteroidota; Flavobacteriia; Flavobacteriales; Flavobacteriaceae. The record is from RNAcentral.